GAUGAAGAACGCAGCAAAAUGCGAUAAGUAAUGUGAAUUGCAGAAUUCAGUGAAUCAUCGAAUCUUUGAACGCACAUUGCGCCCCCUGGUAUUCCGGGGGGCAUGCCUGUCCGAGCGUCAUUACAACCCUCAAGCUCAGCUUGGUGUUGGGCCCCGCCGCCCCGGCGGGCCCUAAAGUCAGUGGCGGUGCCGUCCGGCUCCGAGCGUAGUAAUUCUUCUCGCUCUGGAGGUCCGGUCGUGUGCUCGCCAGCAACCCCCAAUUUUUUUCAGGUUGACCUCGGAUCAGGUAGGGAUACCCGCUGAACUUAAGCAUAUCAAUAAGCGGAGGA
RNAcentral lists this unclassified non-coding RNA (329 nucleotides) under soil metagenome. RNAcentral's name for it is "partial contains 5.8S ribosomal RNA, internal transcribed spacer 2, and large subunit ribosomal RNA". The stretch from base 1 to 120 matches the Rfam family "5.8S ribosomal RNA", at positions 35 to 154 of the family's 154-position model. The record is from RNAcentral.